AUUGAACGCUGGCGGCAUGCUUUACACAUGCAAGUCGAACGGCAGCGGGGGCUUCGGCCUGCCGGCGAGUGGCGAACGGGUGAGUAAUGCAUCGGAACGUGCCCAUGUCGUGGGGGAUAACGUAGCGAAAGCUACGCUAAUACCGCAUACGUCCUGAGGGAGAAAGCGGGGGAUCUUUGGACCUCGCGCGAUUGGAGCGGCCGAUGUCGGAUUAGCUAGUAGGUGAGGUAAAGGCUCACCUAGGCGACGAUCCGUAGCGGGUCUGAGAGGACGACCAGCCACACUGGAACUGAGACACGGUCCAGACUCCUACGGGAGGCAGCAGUGGGGAAUUUUGGACAAUGGGGGGCAACCCUGAUCCAGCCAUUCCGCGUGAGUGAAGAAGGCCU
This 389-nucleotide ribosomal RNA is filed under the name uncultured bacterium. Its description in RNAcentral is "bacterial SSU rRNA". It matches the Rfam family "Bacterial small subunit ribosomal RNA", at positions 29 to 417 of the family's 1533-position model. The record is from RNAcentral.